UUUUUAAGUUUAAAAACUUAGAUUGAGGUGUGUUUGUAGGCGAAAACGAUGUUGGUCGUUAUUAAAUACUAAUUUAAUUGGGAUGUGUAGGUGGAUGUUCAGAUGAAUUUGUUUGAUAGACAGUUCACAGUAAAAAAUACUAUGCAAGUUACUAUGCAAAUAGUGAUUUGUAGGAAAGAAAGAUUUUUACAGGAGAGACCGUAUAUAUGCUUCUCUGAAGAAGGGUGGCGAAAUACUUGUAAGAUUUUUCUGGAUUUUCUAGUAUUUUUUCUGUCUGGAAAUGUGGCUGGCGAAAAUUAGCGAGCGAAGUUACUAUGCACGAUAACUAUGCAUGCACGAGGCUUCACGUGGGAUUUUUUUUUUUUUUUUUUUUUUUUUUUUUUUUUUUUUUUUUUUUUU
This 399-nucleotide long non-coding RNA is filed under the name Ananas comosus (pineapple). Its description in RNAcentral is "long non-coding RNA (ACOM_LNC041107)". The record is from RNAcentral. Lineage: Eukaryota; Viridiplantae; Streptophyta; Magnoliopsida; Poales; Bromeliaceae.